ACUCCUACGGGAGGCAGCAGUGGGGAAUACUGGACAAUGGUCGGAAGCCUGAUCCAGCCAUGCCGCGUGUGUGAAGAAGGCCUUAUGGUUGUAAAGCACUUUAAGCGAGGAGGAGGGUCCUAGUAUUAAUACUCGUGGAUAGUGGACGAUACUUGCAGAAUAAGCACCGUAUCCUCUGUGCCAGCAGCCGCGGUAAU
Molecule: ribosomal RNA, 197 nt
Filed under: uncultured bacterium
Lineage: Bacteria
Description: partial 16S ribosomal RNA
Rfam family: Bacterial small subunit ribosomal RNA
Source: RNAcentral